CCCAGGAUCCCAGGAUCAUGACCCGAGCUGAAGGCAGCCACCUAACUGACUGAGGCACCAGAUGCCCCAUGAUCUCAAUUUUUAUAGGUUCCAAUUUAUUUGGAAAUGAAAGCUUAAAUGAUUUCUUAAGCAAUUUCAUCUAAGGAUAUACUUGUUUCAAAAUAGGAAGCUUAAGAAUAAAACAUUCAGAGUUAGGCAAAAACAAAGUACUUUUUCAAAGACUUAAAUAAUUAACAGGAGAUUUGAUUUUCUUCUUAGGAUGUAUUUAGGACUUGGGGAAGGAAUGGCAAUAACAAGAUACCAAGGUCCCCCCUGCAGAAAGAACUGGAGCUCAGCUGAGAGCCUGAAAGUCAAGACUGAACAGAAGGUGAUAGCAGGGAAUCUGGGGCCCUAAAAUAAUCAACAGGGAAAGUUUGGAGCGAUUGUGCUAACAUGUGUUAGGAAAUUUGUUUUCUACUUAUACUAUGUUAUUGAAGAGUGAUAUAAAAUUUUUAGUGUAUCAAAAUACAGCCUGUUUACAUUAUUGGUGUUAAAGCCAUAAGUACUAAAAAUAAAGUAAAUCAAACAGCA
Molecule: long non-coding RNA, 570 nt
Organism: Lontra canadensis (Northern American river otter)
Lineage: Eukaryota; Metazoa; Chordata; Mammalia; Carnivora; Mustelidae
Exons: 2
Source: RefSeq, a predicted model, not a curated record